GUCGUUCGAGAAAACUUUAUCCCACCGGAUGCUGAUGCUAUCUUGAAUAUUCCACUCAGACAAGGAGGUGGUGAUGAUUAUUGGGCUUGGGAUCAUGAGAGAUCGGGUUCCUAUACUGUGAAGUCAGCGUAUCGUGCUCUAAUGACUCAUAACGAGCAUUCAGCUCUAGAGGAAGGGGCGAUUACAGAAUCUUCAUAGAAUAACAAGCAGUUAUGGACUCGUCUUUGGAAGCUCAAAGUGCUACCUAAGGUGCGUGUGUUC
Molecule: ribosomal RNA, 261 nt
Filed under: Triticum aestivum (bread wheat)
Lineage: Eukaryota; Viridiplantae; Streptophyta; Magnoliopsida; Poales; Poaceae
Description: partial small subunit ribosomal RNA
Source: RNAcentral